RNAcentral lists this long non-coding RNA (3206 nucleotides) under Erythranthe guttata (spotted monkey flower). RNAcentral's name for it is "long non-coding RNA (EGUT_LNC001724)". Lineage: Eukaryota; Viridiplantae; Streptophyta; Magnoliopsida; Lamiales; Phrymaceae. The record is from RNAcentral.
CCCAUCUUCUCCUUCUCCACAAAUUUCAAUUUCCAAUUUCUUCUCCGGUGGACUGAAGGCCGAACGACGGUCCUCACUUCUCUGAAUUGGUGAGUUCUUCACUCUUUGAUUUUCCCCAAUUUGGGUUUCUUAUAAUUUUUUUUCCAAUUCUAGGGCAAGAAAAAACAAUAUCCAAUUUAUCAAAUGAAUGCCCAUAAUAUUGCUAAUCAAAUGAAUUUCCGAAUAAGUUCUUCCCCAUUUGAGUAUUUGUUUUCAACCUGUUACUCUAUUUAGGUUUUUGUGUUUAAUUGCUAGUGAGUAAAUUGAGUUUAGUUAAUUAAUUAUGUAAAACCGUUUGUGGUUUUAAUUGGUUAAUCAAUUACGUAAUUAAUUAAUUAUGUAAAAUUGGUUACUGUCUUUUUUUAUGUUUUUGUGAUUAAUUGUAUAUUUAUAACAAAUUUGGUUUUUUUUUUUGUUUUGAUCAACCUGUGUAUGUAAUAAUACGUUUUACUAUAUUGCUUGUAUUUAUAACCAAGUAAAGCAACAUCUAAUAUAUUUUUAAUAUUUUAUCUUGCAGUGUAUAUGUCGAGUGAAGGUCUACAACAUGCAAAAGGAGAAGAUGAAAAGGAGACUACACAGUUGGAAUUUAAUCCAUUAGAUAUUCAUGAUGAGGUCGAAGAUUUAGAUGACGAAGAUGCUUGUGGUCGAGCUAAGAAGAAAUCUAAAAGACAAGUACCUAUUAGAUCGCAAGUUUGGGAUUAUUACACUAAGUUUAUGUGUGAUGUUGAGAAAGUGCAAAAAGCCCGAUGCAACUAUUGUAGUAGAGUAAUAAGAGCGGAUCCAAACAAACAUGGGACUACGCCUCUUCAAAAUCACAUUUCAGUUUGCAAGAAGAAACCAGGUACUGUUGGAAGUAGCCAAACUCGAAUUUCAAUUCAACAACGUUUAGGAGAGACUGAAACUUCUUUUGUUUCUUGGAAGUUUGAUCAAAAAAAAGCAAGAAAUGCGUUGGUUUUUUGGUUAGUUGUUGAUGAGCUUCCAUUUAAAACAAUUGAGAACCCUGGUUUUAAGUUUCUGAUGUCGGUUAUAUGUCCCAUGUUGCUGGUUCCAUCACGAAGGACUAUAACUAGGGACAUACAUGUCGUGUACAUAGAAGAAUUGGGCAAGUUAAAGACUUUCAUAAAAAAUCACUCUCAAAGAAUAUCCCUCACUACAGACACUUGGACAUGUAUUAAACAGGUGAACUAUAUGUGUCUCACUGUCCACUUCAUUGAUGAUGAAUGGAAAUUGCAAAAGAGAAUUUUAAAUUUUUGUCCUAUUGUUGGACAUAAGAGUGAGGAUGUGGGUAAAGGAGUAGAAAAAUGUUUGCUCCAAUGGGGAUUUGAUAACAUUUUCACAAUCACAGUUGAUAAUGCUUCUUCUAAUAAUGGUGCAAUCACAUACUUGACCAAAAUAUUUGAUCAUUGGGGUACAAAUAUGUUAGGUGGCAAGUAUAUGCACGUAAGAUGCGUUGCACAUAUUGUGAAUCUUAUUGUGCAGGAUGGUUUAAAAAACAAAGAAGAGCAUUUGGCGAUUUCUCGCAUUAGAGGAGCCGUGAGGUAUAUUCGGAACUCUCCAGCUAGGCUCCAAAAAUUUAAGGAAUGUGUUGCUUCGAGAAAACUAGAUUCAAAGAAGUUGUUGUGUUUGGAUGUACCUACUAGGUGGAAUUCCACUUACUUGAUGUUGGAGGCUGCAAUAACUCUCAAAUCGGCUUUUGAUGCUUAUGAUGAUAUCGAUUUUGGUUAUAGCACUGAGUUAUCAAAGGGUGAUGGGGUCCCGUUGAGUUAUGAUUGGGAAAGAGCUACAUUAUUGUCGAAAUUCUUGAGGCACUUUUAUGAUCUUACCGUGCGCAUUUCUGGAUCAUUAUAUGUUACGUCGAACAACAUCUUUAGUGAAAUUUCCGAAGUGGACUUGCUUCUUAAAGAAUGGUCAGAGAGCGAUGAUUUUGAAUUGAAUGCAAUGGGAAAGAGAAUGAAGGAAAAAUUUGUCAGAUAUUGGGGAGGAAUUGAAAAAAUGAACAAGGUUAUGUUUUAUGCAGUGAUUCUUGAUCCACGCCGCAAAAAUGGAUUCCUUAACUUCUCGAUUGAGUCAGUGUACGAUGAUGGGAUUGGUAAUGAAAAAAGUUUGGCAUUAAAAGACCAAGUGAAGCGCGGCUUUGAAGAAUUAUUUGCCAAGUACAAAUUUGAUUAUGCUACAACUACUCAAGCAUGUGGAAUGCCUUCAACUGGUUCAAUCAGUUCUUCUGCUUCCGGUUCUUCUGCUUCUUUGAGUUCAGUUUCAUCCAAAUCAUUGAUAGAAAAAUUCAAUAAAAGCUUUGGUGGGAAGAAAUCUGAAAGUUCGAAGUCGGAGUUGGAUAAGUACAUUAGCGAGGAACUAGAGGAUGAUCAUGAGGAAUUUGAUAUCCUUGCAUGGUGGAAAGUAAAUUCUCACAGGUUUCCUAUACUCUCAAAGAUAGCACGCGAUAUAUUAGCAGUUCCAAUGACCACAGUUGCUUCCGAGUCCGCUUUCAGCGCCGGUGGACGUGUGCUUGAUACAUUCAGGAGCUCUUUGUCUUCUAGAAUGGUCCAAGCUCUUAUUUGUGGUCAAGAUUGGCUUCACCCCCAUUCAAAGCCAAUAAAUUUGGAGGAGGACUUGAAUGAAAUUGAAUUGCUUGAUCAAGGUAAUUUGUAUUAUUUUGAUUCUUUAAUUUGUCCUGUUUAAUUUUUUUUUUUUUUCUGUUACAAGUUAUAUAACUUGUUGUUUUUUUUCUCUCUAUUUUUUGUUUUUGUGUAGAACUAGCACAAUUGGAGGUAGGAUCAUCAAGAACUGAGGAUUGACUUGGUGAUUUGGUAACUUAUUGAAGGGUUGGUUACUUUUUGUCUGUUUUGUUUUGGUUGAUUUUGUGACUGUUGGAUUUGAAUAUUUUGAUUGAUUUUGGUGACUUAUAACUUAUUUAAGGAUGUAAUAUUUUUCUUUUGUUGAUUUUGGACCGUUGAAUAUUUGAAGUUGUCUGGAUUUUGGAAGUUGAACUGAUUUUGUUUUUGUAUUUGAAGUGUAUUUUUGAAUUGUUGUGGUUCUGUGGACUGUGGAGUGUGGAGUGUGAAACUGUUUGGGAAUUAUGAAGUGUGAUUUCAUAUGUAGAUUUGGAUGUAAAAAAAAAAAAAAAAAAAAAAAGAAAAAAAAAUCAGAACAGCAAAACCCGAACCCGA